RNAcentral lists this long non-coding RNA (199 nucleotides) under Setaria viridis. RNAcentral's name for it is "long non-coding RNA (SVIR_LNC010376)". Lineage: Eukaryota; Viridiplantae; Streptophyta; Magnoliopsida; Poales; Poaceae. The record is from RNAcentral.
AUAUAUCCAACUGAAAACGCAGCUAUAUUGUGAACUUAUAGUGAAUUCAAAAUAUCUUCUUGAGCAACUUAAUCUGAAGGCUAUAUACUUAGUAAUUGUCACCACUACACGAUUACACAACUAUAUUUUUGUUCAAUAUGCAUGAUUUCCGCAAGUGUGGUAAGGUAAGGAAAUCCUUUAAAAAUAUCAGACCCCCCCC